This 171-nucleotide non-coding RNA is filed under the name uncultured Eubacterium sp. Lineage: Bacteria; Bacillati; Bacillota; Clostridia; Eubacteriales; Eubacteriaceae. The record is from RNAcentral.
CUUUACGGUGCCGUGAAAACGGCUUAAUAGGGAAUCGGGUGAGAAUCCCGAGCAACCGCCAUUACCGUAUCUGAUGAGAGGCUUUGCAUCGCCAUUGGGAAACUGAGAAGGCGCAAAGCGGCGCGUGUGAAACGCGCUAUAUUCACAAGUCGGGAGACCUGCCGUGGGGUA